RNAcentral lists this small RNA (13784 nucleotides) under Rattus norvegicus (Norway rat). RNAcentral describes it as "uncharacterized LOC102550434". Lineage: Eukaryota; Metazoa; Chordata; Mammalia; Rodentia; Muridae. The record is from RNAcentral.
AUCCCCAACCCCCAACUCCUGCCUUUAAAAACAGGAGCCAAUCCUUCCCAAUAUCCAAUCCUACAAACUUGGUGGUGACUUGGGCAUCACUGAUGGAUAAUUAGGACCUAGAGUAUAAAAUGGCAGAUUGUAGCCGUUCAAAAUCCGGACUUUCUGUUUUAAUUGAGAAGAAUUAGCCUCGAAACAUUUUUUUCCUUGUCACAAUAGGUUUUCCAGUGUCUUGGCAAUAAGGAGUAGCAUUUUAAAUGACCUACAUUUGUGUAGGAAGCCACAUGGUCCAGCCCGGUAGGAUUAGUGAGGGGGGAAGAUAUUCUGGGGUGCUGACUACCCAUCAGGACAAGCAGGCUCCGACUUGGCUUCUCCAGCUCGCCAUCUGGCCAAUGCUGAUUCAUUAGGUAGGUGCCCUUCCUUCUGUUGGAAAGGACAUUUGUUCCCCAUAAUUUGCCACUUUUCCAAGUGGUUAAGGGAAAUUGGAUUUGUUGCAGCGUGCCAGAAGCGAGCAAGACUGGGAACGAGGGCAAGGAUGCCGCAAAAUGGAAAGUCCUCUGGAACCACUGGUGGUGACAUGAGAUGGCACAGCCACUUCAAGAAAGCCUGACAGCUCAUGGGAAGGCACUCUGUCCAGGAGAAUGGGUUAAGGACCUUGGAGCCAGAUGCCCUGAAUACGGCCCAGGCUCCAAUAGGUACUUCCUUGGCUUAACCCAUAAUGUCAAACACAAUCACACAGCACUGCAGCUCGCCCCAGCUCUACUCUCGAUUUGGAGGGUACGGUCAGAGAGGAUGAAGUCAUGGUGCCAGGAGCCUGAGGCAGCUGCUUGCAUUGUAUCCGCAGUGAGGAAGCCGAGAGAGAUGAACCCGAUGAGCAGGUAGCUUCCUCCUUUUCUUACAGUCUGAGACUGAGCCCACGGACACCUGCGUGCAAGAUGGGACUUCCCAGUUCAGUUAACCCAAGUUCUAAGCCAGGCUCUUGGAGAGCUAAAUCCAACGAGCGAGUGUUGGCAGAGCCAUGCUCCCUCUGGAGUGCCUCGAGGACAGUCUGCUUCUAUACCCUUCUCCAGUUCCUUGGGCUGUGUUCCUUGGCCUGUGGCCUUACCUCCACCUUCCAACCCGGCACUGUAGCACCUCCCUUAUUAAAAAGAAAUUAGUAAAAAUGUUAAAAACUAUUAUUUUUAUUUGACGUGUAUGGGUGUUUUUGUCUGCAUGUAUGUCUGUGCACCACAGCAUAUCCGGUGCACACAGAGACCAGAAGAGGAUGUGGGAUCUCCCAGGACUGGAGUUACCGAUGACAGUAAGCCGCCAUGUGGGUGCUGGGAAUUGAACCCAGAUCCUCUGAAAAGAGCAGUCAGUGCUCUUAACCACUGAGCCACAACCCCAGCUGUGGCAUCUUCCUUCUUUAGUCCUAGCCUCUUCUUUUCUAGUUGUGUCCAAUUUCCUUCUGUCUCAUAAGGACAGUAGUGCUCACACUGGCCUGCAGGGAUAACUCACCCGUUCCUUACUUGUGAGCUUCUACAAAGAUCCUCACUCUUUAUCGUGUACCAUGAACGGUCACUGAGACUAGGACCUCAUAUCUUUAGAAUCAUCAAUAAACUGCAGCCCAUCCUAGUACAGAAUGGAAAGCGAUGUCGUGUUUAUGGACCAUGUAAAUGAACAUUCUGCCUGGUGGUAAGAGCUCCAAUUAAUUCAGGAACACUUCGCAAUUACUACUGAAAGUAAACUAUUUUUACUCUCGGGUUCAACAAUUCCCUCUAAUUAGUGCUAAGAAUUCAUCAUAGGAUAUUUUUAAUUAAUUUUUUCCAUGUAAUAUAUUCUGAAUUCAGUUCUCACUGUGUUCUUGACAAUGGGCGUUCAAGGAUUAUUUGUUGAUGUCGUUUAUAGAAGCUACAUUUGCAAACAGCCCACACAGCCUGGCAAUGGGGACCGGGUGAGUGUGCAAAAGGGCUUCCACACCACGGGAUGCUGUAUCAAGCAGAGUGAGACAGUCCUUUGAAGAAAGUCUUCAAGAAUGUGUUCCCAUUGUGAGGACGAAUGAAGAGAGAAGACAGGAGAGGAGAGGACGAGAGAACCUAGAAAUACCCCGGAGGACACAGAAGGUGGGUUGUUCUGUAAGUAUGGAGUCGAGGUGAUGCUUACAUUAUUAUCAUAGGCAUUUAUUGAAUUAUUAAUUUAAAUGUUUAAUAACAAAAUAGAAGGGACAUUUAUUUAAAAGACCUGGCAGGAACUGUGUUGGUAGAGUACUGGCUUGUCAGGACUACAUAAAACUGGAAUGGUGGUGCACACCUCUAAGCCCAGCACUCUGGAGGUGGAGUACCAAGACCAGAAGUUCGAGGCCAUCCUCAGCCACAUAGCAAAUUUGAAAUAGCCUGUGCUACAUGAGAUUCUGCCCCAAAGCCAAAAUUCCUAAAUAAGUUGGCAAAUUACUAGCCCAUCCAAAUUGCACAUAUUUUUUUUUAGUCUUGUCUUCCUAAUUUCCUCUCUUCUUCCAUCACCAAAGAAAGGAAUUACCUUUCUUCCUGUGGGUUGCCAGUCUCUCCCUAGGGCCCUGUGGGUGUUCUUUGAAGUCAGGUUGAUUUCAUCAGCACGGGUGUGGCUUUGAGGUGAGAGCCAAGGACAGGAGAGGAAGGACAUCCUUGGUACUCUCACUGGUCACAGACCAAUCAUGGCGUCAAUAGUCAGACCAGCUUUAGGAAAGUCCACAGGCAGGCUCAGAGCUUCCUGUGUCCAUAGAGACACAAACCUGGGACGCCACAACCUCGUCAUCACAAUACAUUGUCUCUAUCCUGGACAGAAUGCCCAGAGGGCAGAAGUGGAACAGCUUGUCUUAGAAGACCCCAGGGUCCACCUGCCAUGUGGAUCAACUUUUCCCGGAGUCUUACAAAAACACAUUUCAUCCAACUUCCUCAGGCUAAAUUUGAAGUAAAGAACUCACUUUGUCUGCAGCUGCUACUGUGGUUAGUGUGCCUUCCCUGUACACGAAUCAUUAAAGUCUCUCAGGCUUAAUUUCCUCAUCUGAAAAAUGGGCAUAAUACCAGGCUUCCUGAAUUCCAAGCCGCCCUCUGCAGUAUUUCUGAACUCAGCCUAUAGGUUUGAGCACGUAUUCAUCUUGUUGUUGUUUCUUUUAUCCAAGAAGGCUGUGGAAAGACCACUGAUAUUUUUUAAUACUGUUAGUAAUAGUCACAGCUUCGGUCAUGUGAUUAAAAUAAUUUGCCAAUUUAACUACCACAGUUCAAUGGUUUUUAAUAGACUCCCAGAACUGCACAUCCAUCACUACAGACAUUUUCCUAAUAGCCCAUUAGCUGUCACUUUUGUCUUCCUUCAAUUUGCCUGUCCUGUGUAUUUCAUACCAACGGAACAUCAUAUGCCUUGCCUGGGAUUUCCUCCUUUCACUUAGUGUCGUGUCUUCAAGGCCCAUCCGUGCCAGACCUGGCACCAGCGUUUCGUUUCUUCCUUGGCCUGGUUGAUAUCCAGCUGUAUGAAUGUGUAUCUUUGUAUCUAUUCGUUCAUUCACUGACAGUUGUUCUUACUUUUGUGGUUGUGUAGUUAUUUCCUGUGAUUUAAGCAUUCCCUCCUCAAGACUUAGGAAGUAAAUGAAAUUUAUAAGACUCAGGAAGCAAACAAAACGUGCAGUCUCUGAGAGCUCCAGAAAUUUAAAGGAUUCACAAAGCCUAUCUCCCUGAGGUUAUCUAGGCAGAAACAAAUGCUGGGAGAGGAGAUACUCUGACCAGUGGAGUUGCUCUGACCAGGACAGCCGCACACAAGUCAUGUGGAGAGCUCUCAUGAGUCAUUGUCCACUGUGGUGUGGGUUUCCUGGUAAUACAGCUGAUUUUGGGUUACCCAGGUCCCCACUGGUAACCCAUCACCUUUAUUCCUGAAAUCAACCACAAUGAACCCAAGCUACACUUGGCCGUAAUUUUUCCUUUGGUCUGUCACCCAUACCCCAAUCUGGAAUGAGAGGACAUUUGUUUAUAUCUCCUCAGGAAAAGCCACCCGAUCCUUUCGUUUCUUAUAUCAAUAAAACUGCUCUGAGCAGUGCCUGGGAGUUGGCAUUUUCUUUCUGUUGGCUGUGUAGCCAGAGGUAGAACUACCGGCUCAUGUGUUAAUUUGGAAGUUGCAUUUAUAGCACUUUUCAGAAUCUCAGGAGUAUUUUAUAGAGUAGCUGUCUAUAGCCAGAUCACCCUGAACACCUCCAGUCCCAUCUAAAGUAAGAACACCAUCUUACAAUGCGAUCGUUAGCAUAUGCUGACUCUAAUUUCUUCAUGUCCUUGUCAAUGGCUUUUCUAUUAGAGCCAUCCUACCAAGAGUGUCUUUCUGUGCCGUAGCUACCACUUCCCCGAUGUCAGUAAUGGUGACCACCUUUGCCUCUUGGUGAUGGUUAUAUCUUACUUGGGAAGAUGCCUUAUUCAAAUCUUUUGCCAUUUAAAGUUGGAAUAUCACUGUUUAUUGUUUAAUUGUAAGAGUUCAAUUUAUAGUCUAGGUUGAAGUGCCUUCGUGACCUGGACUAGCAGGUCAUUCUUCAACAACAGGUUCCUGAGAAAGAGAGGACCAGGGAGCAGGAAGAUAAGGAGACAAGUUUGAGAUCGGGAGGUCUUGCAUAAGCCGCAUCUUAUGCCAAGCUAGCUAAUUAAGAAGCAAGCAUCUUAUACAGUUUUUAGGGGAGAAGUGGGACUGUGUCAGCAGAAAGCUAUCAUACAAAGGGACAAAGUCAGCAGGAAGCUAAUCGAGUCAUGUUGCAUGAAAGGAACACAGAGUAUUCUAAGUGCAGCACAGACAGCACACAGCAGUCUUGGGAGUGAUAACCAUAGGCCCUUAAGGGUGGGCAGAGUUAGCGUCUCAGGAACCAAAAAUCAGAGCUGUGACUCCCCCAAGGCCCUGGCCCCGGGCCAUUACUGGCUCUGCCAAGUAUAUUCCUUGUAUUAGAGAAGAAAUUGUGUUCCUUUUCUAUACACCAGGUCCUCAGGGAAAAAGUCCCAGGGCCCUGGCCCCAGGCUAUUACUGGCUCUGCCAAGCUUGUUCCUGGUUUAGAGAAGGAACUAUAUUCUCCAUAGACCAGAGCCUCGGGGAAAGUUUUGCCCUCACCAUCUUACUGGAUAAAUGAUUUACAAAUAUUUUCUCCCGUUACAUGGACUGUCUCUUCAUUUUCUUAAUGGGAUCCUUUGACUCACAAAUGGUAAUUCUGAUGGCGUUCAACUCACCUUCAUUUUCUAUUCAUUGAUUUUUUCACUGUAAUGUUAUAAUGGAGAAAGAAUUUUCUAACGCAGCAUCAUGACGAUUUCCUUUUACUCUAAGACUCCUAGAGCUUUUAUUCUGACGUUUAGGUUGGUGACCACUUCAAGUUAGUAUUUCUAUAUAGUGUGAGGUAGGAGCCCAGCAUCAUUGUUCUCAGUGGCUAUGAAAUUGUUGCAGGUGAACUCUUGGAACUCUUCUUGACAACUAGUUGACUACAUGUGGGAUUAUUUUUCUAUGGACUCUCUAUUCUCUUCCCUUCUUUAGGCUUCUCUUCACGUAGAAAGUGCUGCACAAUUCAAUUGCAUCUAAAAUCAGAAAAUAGAAGUCUUUCAACUUUGGUUUUCUUUCUUGAAAUCAUUGGGCUUGCUUUUCCAUUGGAAUUUGGGAUCUGUUUCCCAACAUCUGCAAAAGAAACUGAGAGAUUCAGUAGAGUGUACAUUGAAUCUAUACAUCAACUGAGGAAGGGUCAUCAUCUUAACAACAUUAAGUCCUUCAGCACAAGGCACAGUUCCCAUUUAAUUAUAUUUUUUUCAGAAAUUACUCAUAGAUUGUAUCCUUAUUAAGUUUAUACUUGUCAAUUUGUUCCUAUUUUGUGCUGUUGUAAAGAAGAUGGUUUUCUUAGUUUUAUCUUCAAAGUCCAGUCCUGGUCUACAGAAAUGAAAUUGCUUUUCAUUCAUGGCUGGUCUACAAAUGAAACUCUGCUACAUUUGGACAUGGGUAGGGUUUGUUGUUAUUUUAACGUUCUUUUGUAGGUUGUUUAGGAUUUUCUCUCCCAAGAUCAUGCUGCAUGCAUUUUCUUCCUCAAUCAAAAUUAUUAAUCCUUCCUCCUCUGACUUACAUGCCCCAUGAAAGGAUACUGUAGAGGAUUUUGUCAAAUUGUUACAGUAAACUUAGUUACACCAUUUCUUAGCUCUCAUUGUUCCUCUUAGGGAGAAAAUCCAUGGACCACUCUAUUCACUGCUCACAGGAAGGACACUCCUCCCUUCUCUGCUGCAGAGAGACAUGCUUGGAGGGAGAGUAGCUCAUUUGGGUUACCAGCACAAGGGAAGCACCUGAUGUGCUUUGGCCUUUGCAAGGACUCCUGAUCAGAACUUGCCUUGAUGAAGGAAUUCCUUCGUAUGUCCCACAUAUGCCCUUCAGUGCAAAGAGCAGAGCACUUGAAUGUAUAACAGCACCCUUUGUGCAAAAUGGCUCACAGCUGUCUGAGCUAUUCCCGUAAGACAAAAACAUGAAGUCCCACCCACUUUAUGGAAGAAACUCAACCAAAGGAUUGUCUGACUUGAGAUCUUAGGACACUGGACACUCCAUCAACAAUAACAACACCAGAAGAAGAGUAAACAUGUUUGGCACAGAACUUGGGCAGUCUACCCACCAUGUGGGUUCCAGGAAUUGAACUCAGGUUAUCAAUGCGAACCAGAAUUCCUGAAACAACUGAUUGAUUAGAACUGUAGUGAUUUGGAGAAAUUGGAGUGUUGUAAAUCCAGGGCCUAAUUACUCUUUAUCUUUAAUUUCGAAGCUAGCCUUUGCCCCCUAAAUGGCCAUUCCAUGCUGACCUCUGUUUGACCUAACAUCCUGUGGUUAAUGGAUUUCCAUUCACGGAAAAGUUAAGAGCAUCAUCAGAUGGCAGAGGAGACCCAUCUUUCUGUACCUUCUGAUGUUUCCAACAAUCAAUUGUUUAAAUAUCUUGACUUAUUCUUUGUUCUGUUACUACAAAACUCCACAAUUAAAGCAUUAUGCUCCACACUGAAACAUUAUAUUGAGGGUAAUCUAAAUGGUUUCUGGGCCGUGGACACUCAUGAUGUUUCCUGUAGAUAUACUGUGUUUCUUAUUCCUUUGAGAGAAGAGUUGUUUCUUUUGAUGACACAGUGCUUAGGUGCAGUUACUCUUAUCUACAGAGCCAUCUCCCCUGCCUGCAUGUGGCCUCUCUGAGACAACGGUUGACUAUUGGACCCUACUGGGGAGAGGUAUAUAGCAUUGUCAUUGAAUGGUGUACUUUGCCAAUAUCCCCUUUCAUGUUGCAUCAGAGAGAUCCUGUGUGCAGCAGUCUCCAUUGUGACAUGAGAAGGCUCUGGGAUCAAGCCAGCUGUUCUUAGGAAGUUCUGGAAGAGUGUUGGCAUGGCAGCGGCCCUUCUCUUUCAACAGCACAUUUGAUUAACUUAAACCCUGCCUGCCACACUGGAUAGCUGAAACCUGGUAUCCCAGUGACCUAAGACGGGUAAGAUAAUUUCUUGUCUUACCUGAGUAUUGGAAUCAUCCUCUCUUGCUAUUCAGUGUCCUUCAAACACUUAGGAAUGUAGCCAUGGACAGCCCAAGUCCCCCAUGUGACAAUUUUGCUCAAAGGUAGGUCAAGUGAAUAUGGUGAGCCUGGGUUAUAGGGUUACCAUGUUAUUUGGUUUUCUAAAUGGCUCAAGAGAAAUUAAAAACUUCAUGUCAAAGAGCUAAGUCCUCAACUGAAUGGGUAGGAUUAUGACAAAAUCUUAUAAAAUUAUUAUUAGAACUGUAUAAAUUAUUAAACUUAUGAAAAAGCCUCACAAAACAUUGGAGACUAUUCCUAAUGUUCAGGUUAAAAUGUCUGAGAGUAGAAGGAAGAGAAAAACAAUAUUCAAGAUGAUUUCUAUUCUAGCACCACCCAUCCCCAAAGGGGAAAGAAAGAAGGCCAUUAGGUUGUCAUGAAACUGGACUCUUGGGUUGCAAGGCCCUGACCAGGCAUAGUAACAGAAGUCAGCCUUGAGCCUUUUAACCACUGGAGGAUGGUUCAGUGGGGUCUCAAGUAGGAGCUCUGCUGGAGUUGAUGGCGUGAAGGAAAAGGAUUACCCAUCUCUUUUUGGAUUUUCCAAAGUCAGUACUAUGUAUUUGCUUGAGAUCAGGGAAGUGGUCCAAGGAUAUUUCUCCCUAAGGGAAACAAUGAGGGAGCUCUAACAAAUGGUGUCGUUAAGUUUACUGCAAAGCAUUUGACAAAAUUCGGCAUUCUUUCAAUGAAUGAAUGAUUAAUCAUUUUGAUUAAGGAAGAAUAUGCAUGCAGCAUGAGUCCCAGGAUGUGGACUGGUCUCCUGGGAGUGCCAGCAGAAAAGCUUCCCACUGUAGUAGAUCGAGAAGAGUGAACAAUUCACCAGGAGAGGAGAGAACCACUGUUGGGGUCUGUUUCUUUACCUGUAACAUGAACAACUUUCUCGUUAUGUUAGGCUAAGGGUAUAGUCCUAACAAGUUUGGUUCAGCCUUGCUCUGCAGUGGAAGUUUUUUUUUUUUUGGGGGGGGGGCGAAUAAUAGAAGUUGUAGUGUUAAAAUAAUAGCAAAUAGCUUUUAAUCCAACGUUCGUUUUUAAAAAACUGUCUUUGAAAUGGCAGUCACAGCAGAACCCACUUGUGAGAGAAGUACUUUUAGUGAUGCUCGACAGGUUCCCUGAACUCAGCCCAAGGCAGAGGAUUAUUCUUUUGCCUGAAGAGAGUGGGAACAAAAAGAGACAAGGGGAUGAUUUGCAAAUCUAAAUCUCUGUGACCCAUCUUCCAGGGAGAGGCACGAGUGUAAGCACAGAAGGGAUCUGAAGGAAUUCUGGGUUCUUCCCUCUUUGACAUUGUGUCUGGGAUUAAACCCCAUACCCUAAUGCAUGUUGGGCUGGGGCUCAAGAGUGUGGUAGGAUGGGAUGGUGUGUGAUGGGAGGGGACGGACAUUUGACUUGAGUGAUGGGUCCUUCAAUCCCAAAGGCCUUGAUUUUAAUUAUCAGCAUAUGUAGGCACACACAUGGAGCACAGAAAUUCAUGAAAGCCAUAGUGACUGGGACCUGAGAUUUUGGGUGGAAAGUUUUACAUUCAAAACAUUCAAAACCAGACAUGGUGGCAGAUAUCUUUAAUCCCAGGAUUUGGGAGGCAGAGGCAAGGGGAUUUCUGUGAGUCUGAAGCCAGCCUGAUUUACAGAGUAAGUUCCAGGACAACCAGGGCUAUGUAGAGAGAUCCUGUCUCAAAAAAGAAGAAAAAAAAAAAAAAGAAAUAAAGUAGCAAAAAAAGAAUACAUAGCAGAUACAAUGAGUAUUUUUAAAAAUUAAAUAGCAAUGUUCAUAUAAGCCUCACACUCUAAUCUAAUAGACAUUCAACACUGUAGGCUUUGCUUUGAAUCUUAAGUUUGGGGUGUUUCCUUUCUUCUCUUUCCUUCUUUCUCUCUCUCUCUUUCUUUCUUUCUUUCUUUCAUCUUUCUGUCUUUCUUACUUUUUUCCUGUCUGUCUGUCUGUCUUUUCUUUCGUUCUUCUUUCUAAUAGGAUGUUACCAAUGGUGCUGAAGCUUCAGACCCCCACCCUGACAUCAGUGUCACCUCCCCGGAGAUUGUUCACUUUGACAACACUCAAUCUCACAAACAAAAGCUGGGUUUUGGGGUGUGGGGUUCAAGAGAACACUGAGACAGAUCUCUGGGGAAUAAGUUUACUAGAAAACUUAUUAACACCAUGGACAGACAGACACAGAGACAGCAUGGCAUGGUCUCUGGAGAGAGGAAUCAGACCACACAGGCAGAAGCAGGCUCUCGUUUUAAUGCCUUUCCUGAGGAUGGAGGAUUUUCACACAAAUGUGUAGCCAGGAUAAAGGGAGCAGGGAACAAGAUGUGUGGUACCAAUCCACAAACCCCUUCCAUUGAUGUUAGCUCAUUUCCCAAAUGAGAGAUCCUGGCCCAGGGUGUUGGCCAACUGGGGACUCAUAGACAAGGUCUCAGGAGGCUACCCAGGAGGGUAUCUAUGUCUGUGAGUGGAAGCUGCUGGAGAUAUUCUGUCCUAAGCAGAGGCCGGAUACUCAAGGCUUCUGGCCCUUGAGGGACUGGUCGCUCAGUUCAAAUAUCCCUCCUUUCCCAUCACACACCACUCCCUCUUAUCACUCCAUUCUUAAACGAGCGUCCUUAGAAUCAGGAAGCUGACAUUGCACUGUGUGGUUUUACACCACACACGAUUUGCUAGUGUUUUCAAAGCAUACCGCCAUUGUCGGAGAUUUGCCCCCUUGAGACUGAGACUUGGGUCUCGUGAGUCUGCCUCAAAGCUCUCCCUGGGGAAAUUUUUUUUUGUAUGCCUAAGAGUGGAUUUGCCUAAACUUCACUGAAGAGAGAAGAUAACAAAAGUGUUCACAGCCAUCACACCACCCAAACUUAGUGCCUUAACCCAUUGGUAAUAAAUGGUUGAGCUCCUGAAUUUUCAAUGUGGGCAGAGCACAACUCUGUCCCCAACAGCAUUAGCUGAAGGGGCUCAGAAGCUAGCCUCCCCACAAGUAUUCUGUAGUGACUAAGGACCCCUUUCCACCUAAGAUAAUUCUACACAGGCUACGUGUGUAACAAUAUAGGACAGGUAUAUAGAUCAAACAUUGACUGACAAUAAACCACAGAGAGGUUCAUUUUAAGACAAUUCUUUGAGAGAUACGUAUGUGCAGCCUUACCACAUAUUAAAUAGGAAAGCAAUUUCGCACACCACCGAGAUGAAUACGCUUGGCUAUUUUUAUAUAAAGAGUGAAAUCUUGCUAGUGCAGGAUGUAGAGUUCGUCAAAGCGUUUCAGAGUUGACUGAUGCUUUGAUUUUAGGAUUAUUGAUGCUGCGACCACUGCUUCACAUAAAUACAUAGUGCACACGACAUAAGGGUGUGUAGGGACAUUUCAGAGUAAAAAUGGCAUUUGGAAGUCCUGCGCUAUCCCAAACCAAGAUUCGCUUAAUGGUUUUUAAUGAACUCAUCAGCAAUUCGAAGUUCAAGUUUUAAAAUCGAGCACUGGACGGGCAGUGGUGGAACACAGUUUUAAUACCUGGAAGGCAGAGGCAGGCAGAUCUGAGUUUGAGGCCAGCCUGGUCUACAGAGAUAGUUCCAGGAUAGCCAGAGCUACACAGACAAACCCUAAAAAGAAAUAAAAAACAAAACCAAGCACUGUGACACAAGGGAACCUAAAGAUAUAGUAAUUUAAUACUUACCUCUUGAAGAAAAUGCCGGAACAUGUUAAGUGCCUUUGUUUUCUGUAAUUAGACCAGUGUGUUUCUAUAGAAGAAUGAAGCUAUUUCUGUACAGUAAGAACAACAACAAACGCUAAAGGACUGCAGCUCAUAUGACACAUCUGGAAUAUGAGGCCCGUGCUCCAGCUGCGUUCACUGGCACUGCACGGUGGGAGAGCAUGCAAGGUGUGGUGAGCACAACGCUCUCUCACACUGUGACUUCAGAACCAAGGCCGCAGUGAGCUCUCUCAGUGCCCCGCAGGUCCCGACCUCCCAGUAGUGCAUUGGGUGGGACCCAAGCCUUUAGCACACGGUCCUUUGGCAGACACCAACAGUAUAUAGCAAGGGAGAUGGCCACCUGUUUGGUAUGGCACCAUACCACAAUUGAUGUAGGUUCAUUGGAGGCAAACGCAACAAUAUCCUGGUGGCAGAAUUACCUACUACUGCAUCUGAUCAGGAAGACAGUACAUUCAAACCACUGAGUGGAGACUGGAGUUAGGCCAGCCAUAAACUAUCCUAAUGAAGACUAAUCGGGAACUACAAUUACUGUUGACUUCAGAAUGCAAACAUGAACUUUAGACAGCGAUCCCUAUCAGCCGAUAAAAGUUUGAAUUUUGCCCGGGAGGGACCCUCCAGAAUUAUCAUUAAAGAAAAUAUACGCAAAGAACAGAAGGGUCCCAUGCUGCCCUCUCCACAACAGAGUGUGGUGAUAUCCACUGGAAGGUCUUGUUGUCUCACAGAGGAACUUCCUCCUUCUGUAGGGAGGGUCUCCUUCUACAGUCCUUGUGCUGACCUCACCUGAACCUAUAGCGAGCUCAAAGUACUUCCACACCGAAGAUCCACCUUUGGGUUCCCCGUUUUGACCUGAAGCAUCCCAAGCUCUGCCUCGUGGUCAUGCUGCCUUCUCUCAGAUGGCUAGCAUGCUCCGAUGCCUCCCUCUAACAGCAGUAACCAUGACGUUUAGAGUUCUCCUUGAAGAUCUGCUUGGCAAUCUCCUCAUCUCCAAGAUGUCAUAUGAAGACGACACACUCAGCUUCCAGGGACUGGUGUUUGAUAUCCUGGUCAUCCUUCCAAACCAACUGAAGAGAAAGAGUGACGUAAGUGCAAACAUGCCCUUCACCCUCUCCCACAGGGCUUCCAUUAGAAGCUGCGGAUUGCCAGAGAGCCAGACAUGGAGGUUUGAAUGACUGUAACCCCAGUAAGUAGACAGGAGGGUGACAGGAAGCUGCCUUAGGACACGGAUGCUCAAUCCCAUGGAGGGUCGGCUGAAUAUGGUUUUGCUGACCCCCCCCUUGUACCCCACGACAGCAGCGAUAGGCAUCUACCUGUCUCCAACACCACUGCUACUGAGGGAGAAAAACAGGGUAUAAAGCCAUUACCCCACGGCAGCUCAUCUGUGAGCAUGCCUGCCGCCAGCUGCUCUUGGCUUGGCAGCACCCCUUCUGCUAAAGGUGGCUGGAAUUCCACUGCGUGCUCUCCCACACUUGGCUGUUAAUUGAAGCGCAAAGAUAACAUCAUCAAUCCAAAAGGGUCAUGAGUCCUUUUUGCCCUCUUGGCAAGUUAAUGUGGCCUAAUAUUUGUUUAAAGCCCACCUAUUCUUUUAAAAGACACUUUGUCCAGCGGAGUUUUGAUAAGUGCCUACCCCCCUCGCUCCUUUAAGCAAUAAAGUCAGAUUUUUUCCCCUUUUCUGUCCUGUGAGCAGCCAGCUUUUCUGAAGGAAGAUUGGCUUUAUAAAUGAGAAACAGAUCCUGCCCCAUAAAAGAUCUAAGACAUGGCUAUUGGGCCCAGACCUCUGCUGGGUGUGCUUUUAACUGCUAAGCCAUCUCUCCAGCCUAGUUUAAAAAAAUAAUUUCUGUCUAAAUCGUAUUUUUAUUAUUACAAAUAAGGGAGGGGAUCCAAAGGGAUCCACCACCACGCCCAACCCAAAACCCCUCCGCAAAUCUGAACAGAAGUGGUCAAAAUGACCCCAUUCCAAGACCCGUAGUCUGCAAAGAAAACCACACAUUUGAAGCAUUGAAGAGAUUUGUAAAGGUACAGACGCUGAACCCCAGCUCCGGAGAUCCUGAUUUAGCUGUUGUGAAGCAGAUCGGAGAGCAGUAUUUUUAAGAACACAUCCCCAGACAAUUCUAAUGGGCAGCUGGAGUUGGAAAGCACCAGACCAUUGAAAUAAAUUGCCACACAGCACAUCAUUCAUAAAUGUCUCUUAAAAACACAAUGCCGCCGAGUGAUCGGUACUUUAGAGCCACCGUGUCCCCACGCUGCCAGCCCAGUAGGUUCUCUCUAAUUUUUAUUGAAGUAUCACCGCCAGAAAGAGACACGUGCUCACUGCAUUCUCUGCAGCACUGCUGCUGAUAGCAAGAGAAUUUACAUUUUCAAUAUCUGUCAACGGGAGGGAUGGAGGCAUUGAACACGCUCCUGCAACGACCUGUCAUGCGGCAGCUAAAAUGAAUGAACUAGAUAUGCAACAGUCGAAGCCAGUGUCACCGGAUUCAGCGGUGAGCGAAAAGAAUCCAUUUCAGGGGGGGAAAAAAUUCUAGCGUGAUACUAUUUGUGCUGGAAGUGUUAAAAAAGGAAAGCUCUGAAUGGCUGGAGUGUGGUAGGAGGCAGACACCGAGGUGAAC